This 296-nucleotide ribosomal RNA is filed under the name uncultured bacterium. RNAcentral describes it as "partial 16S ribosomal RNA". It matches the Rfam family "Bacterial small subunit ribosomal RNA", at positions 333 to 645 of the family's 1533-position model. The record is from RNAcentral.
GAGAACCUACGGGGGGCAGCAGUGGGGAAUAUUGCACAAUGGGCGAAAGCCUGAUGCAGCAACGCCGCGUGAAGGAAGACGGUUUUCGGAUUGUAAACUUCUGUUCUUAGUGAAGAAUAAUGACGGUAACUAAGGAGCAAGCCACGGCUAACUACGUGCCAGCAGCCGCGGUAAUACGUAGGUGGCAAGCGUUGUCCGGAAUUACUGGGUGUAAAGGGAGCGUAGGCGGGCAGCCAAGGCAGCUGUGAAAUCUACGGGCUUAACCUGUAGACUGCAGUUGAAACUGGCUUUCUUGA